AUUAUCAAACAGUCGUUCGACGAAAAACUCAAAUGAGUGUUAAACAGUAAGUCCGUCAAGAGGAUAUGACCCAAGCCCUAACCUUAAACGCCAGUUUAAAACCGGCUUGAGAUUAAAUUGUCAUGUGAAUAACAGGCCACACAAAAAUAUUUUAUGUCCUUUCUUUAUUUUAUUUCAAUAUUAUAUCUAUGGUUUGCAUUCACCUUGCAUUAUUGAUCUUGAUAAUGGGAGCCGCCAUCUACAAUGAAAACAAAUUGUUUGUUAGGUAGGAUAUGCAAGAAAACUCCAUGAAUGAUGUAAAAUCUGUGCUUCUUCGAGGUUGCCACACAUAUAAUUGCAGGUACGGUUCUAAAGCUUGUCCUCAAACGUUACCUAUGAUGGUAUAAAAUCCGAGGAGUAAUCUUAUCGUAUCAAAGAAUCAUCUUCUAUAUUAUCAGGAUAGACCCGCCAAAUCUUGUAACUUCUAUUUGAAUCAUAAUAAAAAUCUUUGUUUAUUUGAUGUAUAUAUAGAAGUGUUUUAUUGUU
This is a long non-coding RNA of Helianthus annuus (common sunflower), 525 nucleotides long. RefSeq lists it as uncharacterized. The transcript has 2 exons. Lineage: Eukaryota; Viridiplantae; Streptophyta; Magnoliopsida; Asterales; Asteraceae. The record is from RefSeq and is a predicted model, not a curated record.